AUACUAUUGUUGCUUUGGCGGGCCGUGGCCUCCACUGCGGGCUCUGCUCGUGUGUGCCCGCCAGAGAACCAAACUCUGAAUGUUAGUGAUGUCUGAGUACUAUCUAAUAGUUAAAACUUUCAACAACGGAUCUCUUGGUUCUGGCAUCGAUGAAGAACGCAGCGAAAUGCGAUAAGUAAUGUGAAUUGCAGAAUUCAGUGAAUCAUCGAAUCUUUGAACGCACAUUGCGCCCUGUGGUAUUCCGCAGGGCAUGCCUGUUCGAGCGUCAUUUAACCACUCACGCCUAGCGUGGUAUUGGGGCACGCGGUCUCCGCGGCCCUCAAAAUUAGUGGCGGCGCCGGUGGGCUCUAAGCGUAGUACAUACUCCCGCUAUAGAGUUCCCCCGGUGGCUCGCCAGAACCCCCAAUUUUUACAGGUUGACCUCGGAUCAGGUAGGGAUACCCGCUGAACUUAAGCAUAUCA
This 462-nucleotide ribosomal RNA is filed under the name Plectosphaerella cucumerina. RNAcentral describes it as "eukaryotic LSU rRNA". The stretch from base 115 to 268 matches the Rfam family "5.8S ribosomal RNA". The record is from RNAcentral. Lineage: Eukaryota; Fungi; Ascomycota; Sordariomycetes; Glomerellales; Plectosphaerellaceae.